UCCUCCCAGAUGAUGACAUGAACUUCUUAGUUCCUCUGUCCAUUGUAGUAGCUGAUAAAUUGUGAAAAUCUGGUAGAAAGCAAUAUAAUUACACUAUAUAUUUAGCCAAAAAAACUGUAUAUAAAACAUUGUUAUUGAUUUAUUAGGCUUUUAUAUUUUUGACACAGACUAGGAUAGGAAGUAAAAAAAUAAGAAAGAGUAAAAAAAUCAUUGUAUCAAAGUGAAAUUGGAUGCAUAUUAGACAUAAUGGAUUAUUCUCUCCAUUUGCUGACAUGCAAACCUUCUAGUGAUUUAUGAUGGUAAUUUUUAAAAUCCCUGUGAUUCUGCUUUUUGGUAGCUUUCUGCAGCAGCUUGUGUGAAGAGUGCUGGACUGUGCUUUGGAGCUCGCCCCACUAUCGAUCUAAGUGACCAUGCUUCUGUGUGUCCAAGUGUGUGUGGUACCCGGUAAUGUAAUGUAAUGCUGACUCAGACUGAGUUCGCCGACAGCUGCUGCCUCUUACUGAAGAGAGACGGGGAUUUGAGGAGGGAGAGGGACGACUGGUGUGUGGGAGGGUGUGAGGAGGUAGAUUUAAAUAGAAUAGCACUGAUAGGCUUUUUAUUUCCCAUCAUGCCACACAUUUUUAUCUGAGACUAUUCUAUUUCAAUCUUGACACAAGAGGGUGUUUUUUAGAUGUUCCCUGAUGAAGGUUUUCUUUUUAGUAAAGGCUUUUAAUGAAGCUGACUCUUAAUUAAAGUGCAAAAACUUGCUUCUAUUAUUAGAAAAUAUCCACUGGAAAUAUUUUAGUGCUGUAGUGUAAGUUGACAAUCUUUUUAUUUUGUGU
Molecule: long non-coding RNA, 821 nt
Organism: Xiphophorus hellerii (green swordtail)
Lineage: Eukaryota; Metazoa; Chordata; Actinopteri; Cyprinodontiformes; Poeciliidae
Exons: 3
Source: RefSeq, a predicted model, not a curated record